UCGCCCUGCGCGAUUUGCGCCGCUGCUGGCUCACCAUGGCCGCCUAUAAGACCCCGCGACGCGGCCGCCGCCUAAAACCCUAAGCGCCCUGCCCUCUUUUCUCGGCUGCCGCUGCCAAUCCUGUGGAGAAUGGAGGGGGAAACGUCUCCCCAAGGCCGCCGCCGCCGCACACCAGGAGCAGAGGAGGGGCGCAGAGCACCAAGCAGAGGAAGGGAGGCGUGGGGUAGAGAGGAAGCAAGAGGAGCCGGAGGAGGCCGUCGCCGAGCAGGCCAAGAAGAGGGCCAACGGGAAGGAUCAUAGGAGGAGAAGGGCACACCGACGCCACCGGAGCUUCACCACGCCAGCGCUCGAACGACGAACCUGCGCGGCACGGCACAGCACCACCCUCGCCUGCAUCGCCUCGUCACGGCGUCGCGCCCCUUCUUCCUCAGACCGCCGCCUGUUAGAUGCAGGAUCUGAUUCGACGAUCAAGCUAGACGAUGAUGAAGAAUGCUAAGGACGGAUCGUGCUGCGCUCAAGAUGCCUGUGGAGGAGUGAAGCCAGAAGAUGAAGCAUGCCUAGAAGAAUAGCUAUCACUUCCGAGUUUUAUUUGUUAUCCUUUAGCCCGAGGGGCUUGUACUCUGAUUUUUGUAUCGCAAAUCUUCUGGAUUAUGUGCAAUUUAAACCCAUGUAAUGACUCCUAUCGAGAAGUAUGACUGUGAUAUGUAAUUAAAAUGAGUUCUGUA
Panicum virgatum (switchgrass) is the source of this 725-nucleotide long non-coding RNA. RefSeq lists it as uncharacterized. The transcript has 2 exons. Lineage: Eukaryota; Viridiplantae; Streptophyta; Magnoliopsida; Poales; Poaceae. The record is from RefSeq and is a predicted model, not a curated record.